GGGAGCAAACAAUCAAAAGAUUUCAUAUAAAAAUAGGGGCUUUGUGGAGUUCAAGUGCAAGAAAUGACAAGGAGAACAAAUAAGAUACUAUUGUGAUACGCAAAUAGCUUACGUCGAGAGGUAACGAAUGCUAUUACUUCCUGAAGGGCUCUGAGGUCCAGUUCUCACUUAAAGAAAGAGUUGACUAAUCUCAUAUAACAACUUGGUGAUAAUGGGUUGAGCAACCCUGAGAAGUAAAUAUUUGAAAUUUCAUGCAAAAGAUGCUUGCUCCAAAAGUCUUGUAGAUGAUGAUGAUUAGAGGUCAUUGCCGUCAAACAUGGUAGCCUGACAGAUUUUUAACAGAUCGAUUCAUUCCUUUUGGUUAAUGGACUUGGUCAAUAUUGCUGUUGGGAAUUGCCUCUGCUAAACGUCACAACCAUUUUUGUAUAUAAAAAGAAAGAGAAAGCAUAUGUAAUGUCUACCAGGUCUUAAUCUUAUCAUUAGCAAUCAAAAUAACCGACUACACGAUGCAUCACACUUCCCUAACAUAUGGAGAAAAAAUAUCUUAUAAAACUUCACUCCUUAGUAAGUACCGUCAAAUACUUAUUAUAUAAAAAUUUAUCAUUUUAAGUACCGUCAAAUAGUUAUUAUAUAAUAAGUUAUAAUUUUAAGUCAAUUCAUAUUUAUAUUUACAUUUAUAUUGACUUCUUUUUGUUUUCAUCUAUUAGGACUGAUCUAUUUUUUAAGAUGUGCUUCUAUUUCAGUCUUUUGGUCUUGAUUGUUUCUUUGUCCCUUCUUUGAGGAGAUCAGUUGUGGUCGGAAUGAGCCACACUUUAAUUAACUUAACUGAAAGUGAUAGACAUGGUGUACUAUGUAGUGAUAGACAUGGUGUACUAUAUAAAGUAAGUGUUGUCCUCACCAGUCUUUGAUGCAAUUUGGUGAACACCGGUGUUAAGCUUUAACAUCUGAGACAUGGAAAAAUUGGCUUACAACUGUUGACACAUAAAAUUUGAUAUGGUCAAGCAACUUUUGUGCGGUGUUUCUUAAAGACAAUGCUAUAUUAUGGGAAUCUCUCAAACUAAGAGAAGGCUUAACCAGCUGAUGUUUGCAAUGAGGGCUAUUAGUAUUUCGCAAGUGAAGAAA
Molecule: long non-coding RNA, 1122 nt
Organism: Capsicum annuum
Lineage: Eukaryota; Viridiplantae; Streptophyta; Magnoliopsida; Solanales; Solanaceae
Exons: 4
Source: RefSeq, a predicted model, not a curated record